UACUGGAAUAUUUCGCAAGAGAUUUUGUUAUCCCCCUGAGUGGAAUGAGCAGAACCAAUUGGACAUUUUAUACAGCAACAGAAAUAUUUGAAAAAUGACUUGAGCAUGUCCACUUCCAGAGAAAGAACUGGGUCCACAGAUCAUAGUGAUGGUGUCCCAGACCAAGGUAGGGUGUUCUACUUGACAGAGAAACUAACUUUUAUUUUUUA
Molecule: long non-coding RNA, 209 nt
Filed under: Monodelphis domestica (gray short-tailed opossum)
Lineage: Eukaryota; Metazoa; Chordata; Mammalia; Didelphimorphia; Didelphidae
Description: lncRNA (ENSMODG00000043740.1)
Source: RNAcentral